Molecule: ribosomal RNA, 448 nt
Filed under: uncultured bacterium
Lineage: Bacteria
Description: bacterial SSU rRNA
Rfam family: Bacterial small subunit ribosomal RNA
Source: RNAcentral
UCCCAGACUCCUACGGGAGGCAGCAGUGGGGAAUAUUGCACAAUGGGCGAAAGCCUGAUGCAGCAACGCCGCGUGAAGGAAGAAGGCCUUCGGGUCGUAAACUUCUGUCCUUGGGGAAGAAGAACUGACGGUACCCAAGGAGGAAGCCCCGGCUAACUACGUGCCAGCAGCCGCGGUAAUACGGGGGGUGCAAGCGUUGUCCGGAAUCAUUGGGCGUAAAGAGUUCGUAGGCGGCACGUAAAGUCUGGUGUUAAAGGCAGAGGCUCAACUUCUGUACGGCACUGGAUACUUGCGAGCUAGAAUGCGGUAGAGGUAAAGGGAAUUCCUGGUGUAGCGGUGAAAUGCUUAGAUAUCAGGAGGAACAUCGGUGGCGUAAGCGCUUUACUGGGCCGUAAUUGACGCUGAGGAACGAAAGCCAGGGUAGCAAAUGGGAUUAGAUACCCCAGUA